Molecule: long non-coding RNA, 721 nt
Filed under: Physcomitrium patens
Lineage: Eukaryota; Viridiplantae; Streptophyta; Bryopsida; Funariales; Funariaceae
Description: long non-coding RNA (PPAT_LNC005514)
Source: RNAcentral
ACUUUCAUUGUAGAUACGCAAUCUUCACAUCGUGAGUGCAACAACAACGUUUUCCUCAAAUCACACGAGUUGGUAGUGGGUGCUCGAUGCUCUGAUAAUCCACCCUAUCCUGAGGAAAAAAAAUUUGUGUGUCAGGGAGGAACAUACUUAUAUAUAUAUAUGUAUAUAUACAUAUGUAUAUAUAUAUAUAUAUAUUAUAAUGAGUUGAAACACGACUAACCGAUUAAUUUAACAGAGAAGAGCAUUGCCGUCCCCCGCACAACAGCCAGAUGUCAAGAUUCCUGCUUUACGCGUUGCGCAGCGUGACGAGGCAACGCACCGAAAUAUCUGCCGAAGAAGGUUAAAGUAAACCUUGGUGAGACUCGAAUGUCAAACCGGGAACAACACUGGGCCCCUAUAAGUCCAACACUUGGUUGACAAUUUCCAAGCCCCUGUUUCGCAUUCCAGGGCGAGCCAACACACCUUUCCUGCUUGACCUGGGUAAGCUUCUUUGGUGCAAUUCCGCACCUUUAUUAUGUGGGGAAGCACUAACAUGACACCUAAUUCAAAGAAACCCCACUUUUUCUGUGGGAUGCUGGGAGUGGGUUGACCCUUUUCCCCACAGCUUUCCUCUUUACAGUUUGGAUGGCCCGGUAGCAUCAGCAGCAAUUACUUCUCCCCCUCCCCUCCCCUCCCCUUUUUUAAGCCACAAAAAAAAAAAAACAAACAAACAAACAAACAA